GACCGUGCGAAGGUAGCAUAAUCAUUUGCCUUAUAAUUGAAGGCUUGUAUGAAUGGUUUGACAAGAAUAAAGCUGUCUCUUUGUGAUUAAAUAAAAUUUUAUUUAUAGGUGAAGAAGCCUGUAUUAAAUUGAAAGACAAGAAGACCCUAUCGAGCUUUAAAAAAGUUAAUAAGCUUAAAAUACAUAUUUAUAUUGAAUUAAUUAUUAAAAAUUUUGGUUGGGGCGACUGAGGAACAAACAAAGCUUCCUAAUAAUUUAGAUACACUCUAGUACUGAUCCAUAUAUUGUGAUUAAAGAAAUUAGUUACCGUAGGGAUAACAGCAUUAUCUUUUUUGAGAGCCCAAAUCGAAAAAAAGGUUUGUGACCUCGAUGUUGGACCAGAAUGUCCUGAAGAUGUAGCCGUCUUCAAAGGUUGGUCUGUUCGACCAUUAAAAUUYUACGUGAUCUGAGUUCAGACCGGCGUGAGCCAGGUCAGUUUCUAUCUUCAAUUUUUUAUGUGAACUUAGUACGAAAGGAUCAGUUUAGAAUAAAAAUUAUUUUGCUUGAUGUAAUAUAAAAAAAAAUUUAAUAAGUAGAUCAUAAGGUUUAAAAUCAAAUUAGCAAAGAUAAUGCAAUUGACUUAGAAUCAAUAGACAUAGGUGAAAUUCCUUUAUUUGAUAUAAAUAAAGGUG
This 671-nucleotide ribosomal RNA is filed under the name Murichorda rumphiusi. RNAcentral describes it as "partial 16S ribosomal RNA". The stretch from base 1 to 510 matches the Rfam family "Bacterial large subunit ribosomal RNA", at positions 1944 to 2925 of the family's 2925-position model. The record is from RNAcentral. Lineage: Eukaryota; Metazoa; Mollusca; Gastropoda; Neogastropoda; Columbellidae.